UAUGCUACUAUUUAUUUCACAUAACUUCAAAUCAAAAUCUCUUUCGUUUCCAUCCCGCUCCGAUUCUAAAUGCACUUCCCCUCCAAAGCCAACCUCCUCCGUCCAGUGAACAUCGCCCCCAAACGGGCAGCAGAGCAGCAUUGCUUAUCUCUCCUCCAAACCUGCACCUCUCUCUCUCACCUCACCCAAAUCCACUCCCUCCUCCUCAAACUAGGCCUCCAACACAACCCUCUAGUCCUCACCAAAUUCACUUCCACCUCCUCAACCCUCAACGCCAUCCACUAUGCCUCCUCCCUUCUCUUCUCCUCUAACAACAACAUCACUCACUACGACGCUUUCCUUUUCAACACUGUCAUCAGAGCCUACUCUCAAACUAGUAGUCACUCCACUGCUGUUUACUAUUACAAACUUAUGCUAAAGAAUGGGGUUUUGCCCAAUAAGUUUACUUACCCAUUUGUGCUCAAGGCCUGUGCUUGUGUUGGGAGGUUGAGUUUAGGCGAACAGGUUCAUGGGUCGGUGAUUAAAGUCGGUUUCGAUAACGAUAUUCAUGUUGGGAACACUUUGGUUCAUGCGUAUGGGUGUUGUGGAGGUGGGAUUGGGUUUGCACGUAAGGUGUUCGAUGAAAUGCCCGAGUGGGAUUCAGUGUCGUGGAGUGCGAUGAUUGGUGGGUAUGCUCGGUUAGGCAUGUCGAGCGAGGCGGUGGGUUUGUUUAGGGAGAUGCAGGUUGCUCGGGUUAGGCCGGAUGAGGUUACUAUGGUUACGGUUUUGUCUGCAUGUACCGAUUUAGGUGCACUGGAACUUGGGAGAUGGGUGGAGUCUUAUAUUGAGAGGGAAAAGGUUCCGAAAAGUGUGGAGCUUUGUAAUGCAGUCAUAGGGAUGUAUGCGAAGUGCGGUGAUGUUGAUAAAGCAUUGAACUUGUUCAGGAAGAUGAGUGAAAAGACUAUUGUUUCGUGGACUUCUGUGAUUGUUGGUUUGGCAAUGCACGGUCAUGGUUUGGAGGCAGUUUCUUUGUUUGAAGAGAUGAAAGAAGAUGGGUUGGUCCCAGAUGACGUAGUUUUUAUUGGGUUACUCUCAGCUUGUAGUCAUUCGGGAUUAGUAGAGGAAGGUUGGCGGUAUUUCAAUUCAAUGUUGGAGGGAUUUGGAAUUGUGCCAAAGAUAGAACACUAUGGCUGCAUGGUGGAUCUUUUAAGCAGGGCUGGACUCGUUAAGGAGGCGCUAGACUUUGUUCAGAAGAUGCCCAUUGAGCCAAAUCAAAUUAUUUGGCGAACCCUGAUUGCUGCUUGCCGUUCCCAUGGAGAACUCAAUCUUGGUGAAAGUAUCACAAAACAGCUUAUCAGGAAUGAGCCUAUGCGCGAGUCGAAUUACAUACUGCUUUCCAAUAUUUAUGCAAAGAAGUCCCAUUGGGAAAAGAAAACCAAAAUUAGGGAGGUGAUGGAGAAGAAAGGAAUGAGAAAGAUCCCAGGGAGCACUAUGAUUGAGCUUGAUAACGAAAUCUACGAAUUUGUGGCGGGAGAUAAGGCGCAUAAUUUGUACAAAGAGAUUUACGAGAUGGUGGAUGAGAUGGGGAGGGAGAUGAAAAGGGCUGGAUAUCUUCCCACUACAUCAGAGGUGUUACUGGAUAUUGAUGAAGAAGAUAAGGAAGAUGCUCUAAAUAGGCAUAGUGAAAAGCUGGCUAUUGCAUUUGCCCUAUUGAAGACCCCACCUGGAACUCCCAUUCGGAUUGUGAAGAAUUUGCGGGUGUGUGGGGAUUGUCAUUCAGCCGCCAAGUUCAUCUCCAAGGUCUAUAACCGAGAAAUAGUGAUGAGGGACAGAAAUCGAUUUCACCAUUUCAGGGAUGGGACAUGCUCAUGCAGAGAUUUCUGGUGAUAGGUUAAUUUAUGUUCAUAACUGCUAAUCAUUGAGUAGGAAAUAGCAUUGUUUUGGUCAAGUUUUGCUUGAUGGUGUAGUGAGAAGUGACCUUAACGGGUAGGUGUUGUUCAAUGAAUCCUCCUGCAUGAUCAUUUUUCUGGAUCUUCUGUCAAUUUGAAAAUUAUUGAACCAAAAUUUGUCCAAACCUGAUGUUGUGGCUAGGAAGUGAUGUUUGAUCAUUGGGAAAACCUAUACACUUAUGGAAGAUGCAGUUUGGUGGAGAUGCUUUCACCAGGAUUUACAUUUCCAGUGCUUCUUAUACAUUUUUUAGAGGCUUGGUCUAUAAUGCGAACUGGAGUGCCGCAGCAGUUGGGUACUGGAAAUACUCAGGUGUUGAAGAGGAACCCAUCGUACUAAACUGCGUACCGUGGGAAUGCCAGAGUACCCGAUACUUCUAGUUUACCAGGCUGUAAUCAUUACUUAUGGCUUAUGUGAAUGCCUUUUUUCAUGUGUAGAGUUCUAUAAUCGGAAAACAGAUGAGAUCAGAAAGGCCGGGCUAAGUGUUCAGUAGCUUUCUUGAGUUGUUCUAAGACAUGAUGAGAGCUCGCUUCUGUGGAAAACUCUGGUUGCUCGGUAUUAAAUCCCAUAGAGAUAGGAAAGCACCUGUAGCAGAAACAAACACUCAGACGCAAACUCCUCCCUUGGGGGAAUAUCAAUUGUCUAUUCCUUUCACAGAAUCAAGCUCGCCGAAUAUAAUCAAAGUGAAGCUUCAAGUGCAACACCUCUGCCUGAACCUACACUGGGAUCGCGGUGAAUUGUUACGAUGUGUGCCUCCUUCUGGAGAAGCGCCCAACUGCUUACGAGUCCUAGGAGUUAACAGGUAUGAUAGAGUCCCGAACAGACCGGUCUUCCGGAACGGGCAAUCUUGUUCCGUCUCUCCCAAGGAAUGGGGGAUCGCUGCUGAGAAAGACCCAUUUGCGUGCUCAUCGAGUGAUGAUAAAGCUUGCCCUCCCUCUAAUGUGUUCUAUUUUGGGGCGUAACGUUGUUCCCUCGACUGACCGAGAAAAACAAGUUCCAGAGGCAUCUUCCGUUCAUAUCGAUUUGGGUUUUUCCGCACCAUAUUUUGGGCUUUUGACUUACCUCAAUAGAUAGGCUAUAGGCUCAGGCUCAGUUCAGCUCACAAAGAAGACCUUGACGGAUGAUCUUUUGAAACUCCCAAACCCGAGUGAGACGGAAAAAAGAAAGAGUCAUAAGCCUCGGAAGGAAUGUUUUGAAUGGGACUCUGCUCUAAAAUAGUUCUAUUCUCCUUACUGGUAUUGCAGGCAAAUCCCGUUACUAGUAGUUCUGGUUAGCCCUGAGUUGAAAUUUGCCCUGUUGCCCCUAAACAGCCUGCCAGUUAGACGUUGGCCAUGAAAUCCAUCACUAUACCGAGCAGAUCACAGGCGUUCACAUCUCGGACGAACGGAACUGUGCGUGAUUCUCUCGAUAAACUUAUUGAUCAUGCAGUUUGGUGGAGAUGCUUUCACCAGGAUUUACAUUUCCAGUGCUUAUACGUUUUUUAGAGGCUUGGUCUACAAUGUGAAAUGGAGCGCAGCAGCAGUUGGGUACUGGAAAUUCUCAGUUCUGUACUGGAACUACAUUUUAAAAGAAUGAACUUUACUGAGUUUUGAUACUUAGCAAAUUUAAGUAUAUUGAACUUGAAAGCCAUGGUUCAGGUUUAGCUAGAGUGAGUCGAUUUUUCUUGUGGUUUUUUUUUUUUUUUUUGAGCUGAUAAUGCCAAAACCCUUUUUGUUCCUGCCAAAA
Rhododendron vialii is the source of this 3651-nucleotide RNA transcript. It is a transcript of the gene named pentatricopeptide repeat-containing protein At4g21065-like, with no coding region annotated. The record is from RefSeq and is a predicted model, not a curated record. The transcript has 2 exons. Lineage: Eukaryota; Viridiplantae; Streptophyta; Magnoliopsida; Ericales; Ericaceae.